CUUUAGAAGUAGGCAACAAUCAUCUGCUUUUGAUGAGUAUUGAGAGGUUAUAUUUUGUGUCUUAAACACAUAGCCAGGAAGACCAUAGACCUUUUUAUUAUUUUUUUUUAAGGUCAACAGAUUGCUACUUUUGUACCCUUAACAGGAGGAUGAGAAGAAUGUAACUGCCCUGAACUUUAUUUUCUUCAUCUGUAAAAUAAUACUACUGAUACAGAGGGAGGGGCAAGAUCUCAUUUUGGCAUUUGGGAAUUUACACAAAAAAUUUCCUGUUACUCAGCCCAAAGAAUUUCACUGUAUCAUGGUCCAUCAGGAUCCAGCAUUCAUUCCUGCUCUGUAUAACUUUAGUAUCAAGAACAAUACAUGCAUCAUCUAAUUUAACUGCAAAUGGCUCUUUUUAGCAUGAAUUGACUGUUUAAAGAGAAUGCACAACAGAACUCCUAAAUGCCUCAUGGAAGCUAUGGAGCACCCCACAGGAAAAAAAAUCUCUUUUACCAAGAGCUAAAAGUAAAUGGAAUAAACUAUAGAGGAAAUUAACUUUCAUCAAUAAUUUCUGGAGAGUGCUACACUGAGGCCAAAUGUACCUGAAAUCCCUUGGUGAGAUGAUUCAACUUUGGUCCAGACUUUGCUCUCAGAGGUUGUUGGAGAUCACUGAAUGGGAUUUCAUCAAUUUUCCUCCAAACUCAUUUUCUAAAAAAACAAACAAACAAACAAAAACAAACAAACAUGAAAUGAGGAAGAGCUAAAAGAGAUGUUUUCCUCUGUGCUCUUUUAGAUUCAUAUCAAAGAAUUAUGCUUAAUAUAGGUAAUUAUAUUUGGAUAAAUUGUAAAUUAUUUUAGUUAGGAACACUGCUUCAGAAGGAUAUUAAUAUAUCAGAAAAUAUUUGAAAUAGGCAUUUCUUUUGUUCUGGAU
RNAcentral lists this long non-coding RNA (910 nucleotides) under Sarcophilus harrisii (Tasmanian devil). Its description in RNAcentral is "lncRNA (ENSSHAG00000020852.1)". Lineage: Eukaryota; Metazoa; Chordata; Mammalia; Dasyuromorphia; Dasyuridae. The record is from RNAcentral.